UGGCUCAGUGGUUAAGAGCACUGGCUGCUCAUCCAGAGGUCCUGAGUUCAAUUCUCAG
RNAcentral lists this transfer RNA (58 nucleotides) under Mus musculus (house mouse). It matches the Rfam family "tRNA", at positions 8 to 63 of the family's 71-position model. From Rfam's summary of the family: Transfer RNA (tRNA) molecules are approximately 80 nucleotides in length. Their secondary structure includes four short double-helical elements and three loops (D, anti-codon, and T loops). Further hydrogen bonds mediate the characteristic L-shaped molecular structure. tRNAs have two regions of fundamental functional importance: the anti-codon, which is responsible for specific mRNA codon recognition, and the 3' end, to which the tRNAs corresponding amino acid is attached (by aminoacyl-tRNA synthetases). tRNAs cope with the degeneracy of the genetic code in two manners: having more than one tRNA (with a specific anti-codon) for a particular amino acid; and 'wobble' base-pairing, i.e. permitting non-standard base-pairing at the 3rd anti-codon position. Lineage: Eukaryota; Metazoa; Chordata; Mammalia; Rodentia; Muridae. The record is from Rfam by way of RNAcentral.